GGGUUGUGAGGUUAAGCGACUAAGCGUACACGGUGGAUGCCUAGGCAGUCAGAGGCGAUGAAGGGCGUGCUAAUCUGCGAAAAGCGUCGGUAAGGUGAUAUGAACCGUUACAACCGACGAUACCCGAAUGGGGAAACCCAGUGCAAUUCGUUGCACUAUUGCAUGGUGAAUACAUAGCCAUGCAAGGCGAACCGGGGGAACUGAAACAUCUAAGUACCCCGAGGAAAAGAAAUCAACCGAGAUUCCCCUAGUAGCGGCGAGCGAACGGGGAGGAGCCCAGAGUCUGAAUCAGUUUGUGUGUUAGUGGAAGCGUCUGGAAAGUCGCACGGUACAGGGUGAUAGUCCCGUACACAAAAACACACUUGCUGUGAACUCGAUGAGUAGGGCGGGACACGUGACAUCCUGUCUGAAUAUGGGGGGACCAUCCUCCAAGGCUAAAUACUCCUGACUGACCGAUAGUGAACCAGUACCGUGAGGGAAAGGCGAAAAGAACCCCGGCGAGGGGAGUGAAAUAGAACCUGAAACCGUGUACGUACAAGCAGUGGGAGCACCUUCGUGGUGUGACUGCGUACCUUUUGUAUAAUGGGUCAGCGACUUAUAUUUUGUAGCAAGGUUAACCGAAUAGGGGAGCCGUAGGGAAACCGAGUCUUAACUGGGCGUCUAGUUGCAAGGUAUAGACCCGAAACCCGGUGAUCUAGCCAUGGGCAGGUUGAAGGUUGGGUAACACUAACUGGAGGACCGAACCGACUAAUGUUGAAAAAUUAGCGGAUGACUUGUGGCUGGGGGUGAAAGGCCAAUCAAACCGGGAGAUAGCUGGUUCUCCCCGAAAGCUAUUUAGGUAGCGCCUCGUGAACUCAUCUUCGGGGGUAGAGCACUGUUUCGGCUAGGGGGUCAUCCCGACUUACCAAACCGAUGCAAACUCCGAAUACCGAAGAAUGUUAUCACGGGAGACACACGGCGGGUGCUAACGUCCGUCGUGAAGAGGGAAACAACCCAGACCGCCAGCUAAGGUCCCAAAGUCAUGGUUAAGUGGGAAACGAUGUGGGAAGGCAUAGACAGCCAGGAUGUUGGCUUAGAAGCAGCCAUCAUUUAAAGAAAGCGUAAUAGCUCACUGGUCGAGUCGGCCUGCGCGGAAGAUGUAACGGGGCUAAACCAUGCACCGAAGCUGCGGCAGCGACACUUAGGUGUUGUUGGGUAGGGGAGCGUUCUGUAAGCCGUUGAAGGUGACCUGUGAGGGUUGCUGGAGGUAUCAGAAGUGCGAAUGCUGACAUAAGUAACGAUAAUGCGGGUGAAAAACCCGCACGCCGGAAGACCAAGGGUUCCUGUCCAACGUUAAUCGGGGCAGGGUGAGUCGACCCCUAAGGCGAGGCUGAAAAGCGUAGUCGAUGGGAAACAGGUUAAUAUUCCUGUACUUGGUGUUACUGCGAAGGGGGGACGGAGAAGGCUAGGCUAGCCGGGCGACGGUUGUCCCGGUUUAAGCAUGUAGGCGGAGCGACUUGGUAAAUCCGGUUGCUUAUCAACGCUGAGGUGUGAUGACGAGCCACUACGGUGGUGAAGUAGUUGAUGCCAAGCUUCCAGGAAAAGCCUCUAAGCAUCAGGUAACAUUAAAUCGUACCCCAAACCGACACAGGUGGUCAGGUAGAGAAUACUCAGGCGCUUGAGAGAACUCGGGUGAAGGAACUAGGCAAAAUGGUGCCGUAACUUCGGGAGAAGGCACGCUGGCAUUAGGUAAAGAGACUUGCUCUCGGAGCUGAAGCCAGUCGCAGAUACCAGCUGGCUGCAACUGUUUAAUAAAAACACAGCACUGUGCAAACACGAAAGUGGACGUAUACGGUGUGACGCCUGCCCGGUGCUGGAAGGUUAAUUGAUGGGGUCAGCCUUACGGCGAAGCUCUUGAUCGAAGCCCCAGUAAACGGCGGCCGUAACUAUAACGGUCCUAAGGUAGCGAAAUUCCUUGUCGGGUAAGUUCCGACCUGCACGAAUGGCGUAAUGAUGGCCAGGCUGUCUCCACCCGAGACUCAGUGAAAUUGAACUCGCUGUGAAGAUGCAGUGUACCCGCGGCAAGACGGAAAGACCCCGUGAACCUUUACUAUAGCUUGACACUGAACAUUGAGCCUUGAUGUGUAGGAUAGGUGGGAGGCAUUGAAGUGUGGACGCCAGUCUGCAUGGAGCCAACCUUGAAAUACCACCCUUUAAUGUUUGAUGUUCUAACUCGGCCCCGUAAUCCGGGGUGAGGACAGUGUCUGGUGGGUAGUUUGACUGGGGCGGUCUCCUCCCAAAGAGUAACGGAGGAGCACGAAGGUUAGCUAAUCACGGUCGGACAUCGUGAGGUUAGUGCAAAGGCAUAAGCUAGCUUGACUGCGAGAGUGACGGCUCGAGCAGGUACGAAAGUAGGUCUUAGUGAUCCGGUGGUUCUGAAUGGAAGGGCCAUCGCUCAACGGAUAAAAGGUACUCCGGGGAUAACAGGCUGAUACCGCCCAAGAGUUCAUAUCGACGGCGGUGUUUGGCACCUCGAUGUCGGCUCAUCACAUCCUGGGGCUGAAGUAGGUCCCAAGGGUAUGGCUGUUCGCCAUUUAAAGUGGUACGCGAGCUGGGUUUAGAACGUCGUGAGACAGUUCGGUCCCUAUCUGCCGUGGGCGUUGGAAGAUUGAGAGGGGCUGCUCCUAGUACGAGAGGACCGGAGUGGACGAAUCACUGGUGUUCGGGUUGUCAUGCCAAUGGCAUUGCCCGGUAGCUAAAUUCGGAAGAGAUAACCGCUGAAAGCAUCUAAGCGGGAAACUUGCCUCGAGAUGAGUCUUCCCUGGGGCUUUAAGCCCCCUGAAGGAACGUUAAAGACUAUGACGUUGAUAGGCUGGGUGUGUAAGUGCAGCGAUGCAUUGAGCUAACCAGUACUAAUGAUCCGUGAGGCUUAACCUUACAACACCAAAGGUGUUUUG
RNAcentral lists this ribosomal RNA (2936 nucleotides) under Yersinia kristensenii. Its description in RNAcentral is "bacterial LSU rRNA". It matches the Rfam family "Bacterial large subunit ribosomal RNA". Lineage: Bacteria; Pseudomonadati; Pseudomonadota; Gammaproteobacteria; Enterobacterales; Yersiniaceae. The record is from RNAcentral.